UCAGGCCUAACACAUGCAAGUCGUACGAGGUGUAAAUAAUUCACUUGUGAAUUGUUUAUUACUACAGUGGCGCACGGGUGAGUAACACGUAAGAACCUGCCUUUUGGAGGGGGAUAACAUAGGGAAACCUUUGCUAAUACCCCAUAAAGCUGAGGAGCUAAAUCGCAUUUGCGGCCAAGAGAGGGGCUUGCGCCUGAUUAGCUAGUUGGGGAGGUAAUGGCUUCCCAAGGCCACGAUCAGUAGUUGGUCUGAGAGGAUGAUCAGCCACACUGGGACUGAGACACGGCCCAGACUCCUACGGGAGGCAGCAGUGAGGAAUUUUCCGCAAUGGGCGAAAGCCUGACGGAGCAAUACCGCGUGAAGGAAGAGGGAUCGUGGUCUGUAAACUUCUUUUCUCAGAGAAGAAGAU
Molecule: ribosomal RNA, 409 nt
Filed under: uncultured bacterium
Lineage: Bacteria
Description: bacterial SSU rRNA
Rfam family: Bacterial small subunit ribosomal RNA
Source: RNAcentral